Molecule: ribosomal RNA, 484 nt
Filed under: uncultured bacterium
Lineage: Bacteria
Description: partial 16S ribosomal RNA
Rfam family: Bacterial small subunit ribosomal RNA
Source: RNAcentral
AUUGAACGCUGGCGGCAGGCCUAACACAUGCAAGUCGAGCGGAUGAAGGGAGCUUGCUCCUGGAUUCAGCGGCGGACGGGUGAGUAAUGCCUAGGAAUCUGCCUGGUAGUGGGGGAUAACGUCCGGAAACGGGCGCUAAUACCGCAUACGUCCUGAGGGAGAAAGUGGGGGAUCUUCGGACCUCACGCUAUCAGAUGAGCCUAGGUCGGAUUAGCUAGUUGGUUGGGUAAAGGCCUACCAAGGCGACGAUCCGUAACUGGUCUGAGAGGAUGAUCAGUCACACUGGAACUGAGACACGGUCCAGACUCCUACGGGAGGCAGCAGUGGGGAAUAUUGGACAAUGGGCGAAAGCCUGAUCCAGCCAUGCCGCGUGAGUGAAGAAGGUCUUCGGAUUGUAAAGCUCUUUAAGUUGGGAGGAAGGGCAGUAAGUUAAUACCUUGCUGUUUUGACGUUACCAACAGAAUAAGCACCGGCUAACUACGUG